AAACACACAUUAGAACUUAAAGGUUCCCGUUGAGUACAACAGACGUAAGGGGUGCUAAUACCUUCCCCUUACGUAAUCCACUCCCGAACCCGAAUAUGGUUGCGACGACCAUUAUUCUAUUAUUCAAUAGGUUUUAUCGAUAUUUUCCUAUUCCUUUAUUGGGAUAAAUGAAGUUCGGUGACGACUCUGUUCGAACGUAAUUUUUUCCGCGACCAUCGCGAGGAAUCAUAUUUUUCGAGAUGCGACAGAUGGCGACUCUGCUGGG
Molecule: long non-coding RNA, 265 nt
Filed under: Lathyrus oleraceus (garden pea)
Lineage: Eukaryota; Viridiplantae; Streptophyta; Magnoliopsida; Fabales; Fabaceae
Description: Pisum sativum (pea) long non-coding RNA (PSAT_LNC027606)
Source: RNAcentral